AACGCACAUUGCGCCCUUUGGUAUUCCUUAGGGCAUGCCUGUUCGAGCGUCAUUUCAAACUUCAAGCCCCCCCUUUAGCUUGGUGUUGGGCGUCUGUCCUCCCCCCGGGACUCGCCUCAAAUGCAUUGGCAGCCGGCACGUUGGCUUCGAGCGCAGCAGAAACGCGCGCGGCGUCCGACGGUGCCUGGCUCUCCAGGAUGCCUCCACCUCAAGUUUGACCUCGGAUCAGGUAGGGAUACCCGCUGAACUUAA
RNAcentral lists this unclassified non-coding RNA (252 nucleotides) under uncultured Lophiostomataceae. RNAcentral's name for it is "sequence contains ITS2". Lineage: Eukaryota; Fungi; Ascomycota; Dothideomycetes; Pleosporales; Lophiostomataceae. The record is from RNAcentral.